CCUACGAGCGGCAGCAGUGAGGAAUAUUGGUCAAUGGUCGGGAGACUGAACCAGCCAAGCCGCGUGAGGGAUGAAGGUACAGAGUAUCGUAAACCUCUUUUGUAAGGGAACAAAGGCGGGGACGUGUCCCCGUAUGAGUGUACCUGCAGAACAAGCAUCGGCUAACUCCGUGCCAGCGGCCGCGUUAAUACGGAGGAUGCGAGCGUUAUCCGGAUUUCUUGGGUGUACAGGGUGCGCAGGCGGUCUGUUAAGUCAGCGGGCAAAGCCCGGGGCUAAACCCAGGCCCGCCGUUGAAACUGGCAGUCUAGAGUUGGAGAGAGGUAUGCGGAAUGCGCGGUGUAGCGGUGAAAUGCAUAGAUAUCGCGCAGAACUCCGAUUGCGAAGGCAGCAUGCCGGCUCCACACUGACGCUGAGGCACGAAAGCGUGGGUAUCGAACAGGAUUAGAUACCCCAGUAGUC
RNAcentral lists this ribosomal RNA (459 nucleotides) under uncultured bacterium. Its description in RNAcentral is "partial 16S ribosomal RNA". It matches the Rfam family "Bacterial small subunit ribosomal RNA", at positions 338 to 795 of the family's 1533-position model. The record is from RNAcentral.